RNAcentral lists this ribosomal RNA (117 nucleotides) under Carlito syrichta (Philippine tarsier). The record is from RNAcentral. Lineage: Eukaryota; Metazoa; Chordata; Mammalia; Primates; Tarsiidae.
AAUUAUAUUAUACCACCCUGAACACACCCAAUCUCAUCUGAUCUCGAAAGCUAAGCAGGAUAGGACCUGGUUAGUACUUGGAUAGGAGGCUGACUCCGAGUUUGACAGAGGUACUUC